Molecule: ribosomal RNA, 468 nt
Filed under: uncultured bacterium
Lineage: Bacteria
Description: partial 16S ribosomal RNA
Rfam family: Bacterial small subunit ribosomal RNA
Source: RNAcentral
GACGAACGCUGGCGGCGUGCUUAACACAUGCAAGUCGAACGGAAAGGCCCUGCUUUUGUGGGGUGCUCGAGUGGCGAACGGGUGAGUAACACGUGAGUAACCUGCCCUUGACUUUGGGAUAACUUCAGGAAACUGGGGCUAAUACCGGAUAGGAGCUCCUGCUGCAUGGUGGGGGUUGGAAAGUUUCGGCGGUUGGGGAUGGACUCGCGGCUUAUCAGCUUGUUGGUGGGGUAGUGGCUUACCAAGGCUUUGACGGGUAGCCGGCCUGAGAGGGUGACCGGCCACAUUGGGACUGAGAUACGGCCCAGAAUCCUACGGGAGGCAGCGGGGGGGAAUAUUGCACAAUGGGCGGAAGCCUGAUGCAGCAACGCCGCGUGCGGGAUGACGGCCUUCGGGUUGUAAACCGCUUUCGCCUGUGACGAAGCGUGAGUGACGGUAAUGGGUAAAGAAGCACCGGCUAACUACGUG